RNAcentral lists this long non-coding RNA (3105 nucleotides) under Nicotiana benthamiana. Its description in RNAcentral is "long non-coding RNA (NBEN_LNC027257)". Lineage: Eukaryota; Viridiplantae; Streptophyta; Magnoliopsida; Solanales; Solanaceae. The record is from RNAcentral.
CAGCAUUCAAGCACCUAAUAAGUUAUUUUUGAAGAGCACCACCAUUCUUUGUUCUCCUAUGAGAAGUAGCACCAAAGUCAGUAGUAACACCAUAACUAUAUGUUCCUUUAUUCAUACUAUCCAAAACCCAAUCACUACUAGCUUUAACACCAGUUCUUGCCUAUUCAGAAAGUUCAAAUUUAAAACCAUUUACACUUUUGUCCCUAACAGCAAUAGCAGCCACUUGUGCCACUGUUAAAGUUUCACCACCAAGUUUUACCAUUGGUUUUCUAAAUUCAUUCACCAUUUUUUCACUUAAUCCAAAUGACUCCCUCUUAAAGAUAAAGAAUAGAAUUUGUGAUACUGACUGAUUAGUCCCGGGGUGUCUGUCAUGCCCAAACUCCGGUAAGUAGAUCCACCUAUAUGAAAAAACUCAAACCAACACUAGGUGAGACAAAAACACUCCCUAUUAGACACAUGCAAGACAUGGCUGCGAUUAUUUUUCUAAAAUUGACCUAUGGGGCGAAAAAAGCAAGAUUUGGCUAAGACCCCCCGAAGCCAAGAACAUAAAAUCUACUAGGAAGACCGGGCCCGGUGUGGAUUGCCUACGUAUCAUGCCCCCAAAGACGAGAAUACAUCCAAAUGACUCCCUCUUAAAGAUUAAAGAAAUUGUGAUCCUGACUGACUAGUGCCAGUGUGUCUGUCAUGCCCAAACUCCGGUAAGUAAAUCCACCUGUAUGAAAAAACUCAAACCAACACUAGGUGAGACAAACACGCUCCCUAUUAGACACAUACAAGACAUGGCUGCGAUUAUUUUUCUAAAAUUGACCUACGGGGCUAAAAAUGCAAGAUUUGGCUAAGACCCCGCGAAGCCGAGAACCUAAAAUCUACUAGGAAGACCGGACCUUAUGUGGGUUGCCUGCGUAUCCCGCCCCGAAAGACGAGAAUCAGGUUCGUGUAGUUCGGACCGAUUGGAUACGGACGAGAAUUAAAAGAAAAACAACUAAUCUAGAGAAAAUAUAUAUUUUCUUUUUCCUUAAAGAAAAUGAUGAAACAUUCCAAAUCUUUUUGGAUUUUCCUUUUUCUUGUAAUUGAUUUUCAAAAAAUGAUAAAAAGGGCAAAAUCUUUUGAAUUUCUCAUGCUUUUUAUUAAUUAAAAAUAAUAAUAAUAAUAAAACAUAACUAGGCCCUCAUUGCUUUAUUUUCACACUUCACCCUCUUUUUUCUUUUUCCUUUUUUUUUUCUUUUUUCCUUUUUCAUUUUCAUUUGCCCUCAACUAUCCUUGGUCCACCAAAUGACCCUUUUACCCUUAAAAUAAAUGCAACACGUAGCACAUAUGAUACAUCAAGAUGGUCUGUUUAUUUCAGGUAGCUUGUCCUAGACGGACCCAACCCUUGUGUUGAGUCCCAUAAGCCAAAUGCCAUGAUGCAAAUAAGCGUUCCUAUUAAGGAUCUGACAUGAAGUCAUGUUAUUCUAGGUUCAAAACCUAGGUCGAUGUUUUAGACUGUGUACCCGAGCGAACAACUCGAGUCGAGGAGGGGGCAACUUUCCGAAAACUAAAGGCCAUCCGGCUUAGUAACUUGUCCGGCCUCUUUAUUAUGUCAGGGUAUGACACUAACAGACCAAGGAGGUGAGAAGAGAAGGGUGUCGGCACAUUUCAUAUACAAUUCAGAUAAUAUCAAAGAGGUAACAUUUAGCGCAUUCGGCACAAAACAUGUAGGAAAAUCGGAUAUAACCAAAUACAACAAUUUAUCUAAGCUCGAAUUCUGAAUCCUGAACAAAACAUUCUGUAUUGUUGUCCCUAGCAGAGUCGCCAGAACUGUCACGCCUUCUUUUUCACUAAACCUGCAAGGGCAUAAAGGAGUUUUUCCACUUAAAGAACAAUCGGAACGGGAUUUAAUUAUUAAGAUUUCAGAGUCGCCACUUGGGAGAUUAAUGGUGUCCCAAGUCAACGGUUGAAUCCCAAACCGAGGAAAAAUAUUGACUCAGUUAACAGUCCGCGAACCAGAAAUCCGGGUAAGGAAUUCUGUUAAUCAGGGAGAAUGUGUUAGGCAUUCCCGAGUUCUUGGUUCUACCACGGUCGCUUAACUAUUAUAUUUGAUUUUAUCUAAUUUCAAAACAUAUUUUAGCUUAUGUGCUUUUCAACCUUAGAAAGCUUUUAUAUUUAUUUUUAAUGAGAAUUGAAACGUCGUGAAAAUACAUCUCCAACCAUGUCACAUCAAUGCGCCCGCGGUUGUUGACAUAUUUCAACUUCGUUGGGAUUUGGAUUUGGGUCACAUAAAUGUGAACCCGAGAUUAAGAAGGUAAAUUAUUAAAAAUGCGCCUAAAGUGUCUAACGCGUUAUUAUCUUUGGGGGAGGGCUGUGAAAUUUUCUAAACAGCCCGUCCCGAUUCUAAUUUCAAAGGAUUGUACUCAACUAAAGCAAACUACGAGAUUUCAACAUCAAAUUAUCACUUUCUCGUCCUAACUCUCAACUCACCGCCCAUUGUCACCUAAAUCAAACAGCUAGCACCAAAACAUCUUCCUAUACAUCCAAUUAUUGGUAACAAAUUAACAACAAUGAGUAGAGAAGAAUAACUCAAAUAACAACAUUAAAAUUGCUACACAUAUUGCACACACAACCAAAGAUCUAGCUAACUACCAAAAUUCAUAAAAUUUAUAUCCUAAGUGCCUAUGAUCAUGCUGUAACGGGGUAAAAGCAACGGUACACAAAUGCCUUUCAUCAAGCAAAACCACAGUAACCUGCAAUUGAUAUCACUUUAAGCAUAACACUACAUCUACAAGCUCAAUAAUGCAUAGAUCUUAGCAAGACGGACUUGAGAUAAUCGUUUCCUUUCAAGCUUAAUUUCAACCAGAUGCGCUACUGAUCAUAAUUAGUGCAACAAUCAGAUUUUAGCCAUAAACAUGCGGCAAGCAAAUCUACACUCGAAUACAACUUUAAACAUGGACGCUUGAAUCAAGACAUAAUAACUUUCACCAAAAUACUACUUCUAAGUUUAUUCGGCUAUUGGAAUCAGACAACAAAUUCGAAAAAAGACUAGUAUUCUCUUUCCACAUAGACCGAAGACGUAAACAAUUCAAUCUAUUUAAACCCCGGCUCUCAUUAUCAGUUAAUCAUACCUUCAGC